Molecule: ribosomal RNA, 429 nt
Filed under: Gemmatimonadota bacterium
Lineage: Bacteria; Pseudomonadati; Gemmatimonadota
Description: Gemmatimonadetes bacterium partial 16S ribosomal RNA
Rfam family: Bacterial small subunit ribosomal RNA
Source: RNAcentral
UAGGGAAUCUUCGGCAAUGGACGAAAGUCUGACCGAGCAACGCCGCGUGAGUGAAGAAGGCUUUCGGAUCGUAAAACUCUGUUGUUAGAGAAGAACAAGGACGUUAGUAACUGAACGUCCCCUGACGGUAUCUAACCAGAAAGCCACGGCUAACUACGUGCCAGCAGCCGCGGUAAUACGUAGGUGGCAAGCGUUGUCCGGAUUUAUUGGGCGUAAAGCGAGCGCAGGCGGUUUCUUAAGUCUGAUGUGAAAGCCCCCGGCUCAACCGGGGAGGGUCAUUGGAAACUGGGAGACUUGAGUGCAGAAGAGGAGGGUGGAAUUCCAUGUGUAGCGGUGAAAUGCGUAGAUAUAUGGGGGAACACCAGUGGCGAAGGCGGCUCUCUGGUCUGUAACUGACGCUGAGGCUCGAAAGCGUGGGGAGCAAACAGG